This 1718-nucleotide small RNA is filed under the name Pongo abelii (Sumatran orangutan). Its description in RNAcentral is "retained intron". Lineage: Eukaryota; Metazoa; Chordata; Mammalia; Primates; Hominidae. The record is from RNAcentral.
CUUAGGAAACUCACAUACUCUCCCUCUGUUUGUGUUCUCCACAAUGAUUUAUUUCAUAUUCUCCUCAGUGGUUUUAUUCUUUCUCUUAGUAUUUUCUUAAGGUCUUGACAAAGCCAUGUGCCUAUUCCCAAGAACCACCAAGGAAAAGAGUGGCUAUUAUUUUUUCCUGGGCCUGAGUUAGUUUAAUGGGUAAACAGGGUGCAGAUUAAAGUGAGUGUGGCCCUCAAGCCCAUUUGCUCAGACUUCUGGAGGAUUUUGAAAGUUGCUGUUCUAAAAAAAUGAUCACACCUAACACUGGAAUGGGCCACUUAAAAUGUGCGGAGAGGGUAGAGAGUGGAAACGCCCCACCCAAGGCUGUUCUCUCACCCAGUCCCACCUCUCCCAGGUAACUUAAUAAUUAACUGUAUUUUGUAUUUUUUCAGUGCACAUUUUGAAAAACUAUAUGAAUUUUAAACACAGAUGGAAUCAUACUUUACAUUUACUUUCUGUAACUUCUUUUUUCCACUUAAUAUUUCUUGGACAUCUUCCCCUGUCAGUACACCUGUCUCAUUUUUUUUUACAGCAUAGAGUUUUCCAUGGUAUGGCUGUACCAUAAUUUAUUUAACCCAUCCCUUAUUGGUGGACAUUUAGGUUGUUUCCAGUAUUUUGCUAUCACAACGCUUCCGUGAACACCUCGAGCACAUGUGCAAGUAUACCUGGGGGAUAGAUUCUGCAGUGUAAUUGCUGUGCCACAGGGUAUGACCAUCUUCCAUUCUGAUAGAUGUUGAGACCGCUGCUUCUUGAAACCUUAGGGCCCAGGCCUACCUGGGGCAGGGGAGGAUAGUGGGGGUUGGGGAGGAGAUCCCUACAACUGGUUGUUCAUCUUCCCCAGCUGCGGCUUGAUGAGACCCAGGAGGCAGAGUUCCAGGCCCUUCGGCAGCAGCUUCAACAGGAGCUGGAGCUGCUCAACGCUUACCAGAGCAAGAUCAAGAUCCGAACAGAGAGCCAGCACGAGAGGGAGCUGCGGGAGCUGGAGCAGAGGGUUGCGCUGCGGCGGGCACUGCUGGAGCAGCGGGUGGAAGAGGAGCUGCUGGCCCUGCAGACAGGGCGCUCCGAGCGAAUCCGCAGUCUGCUUGAGCGGCAGGCCCGUGAGAUCGAGGCCUUCGAUGCGGAAAGCAUGAGGCUGGGCUUCUCCAGCAUGGCUCUGGGGGGCAUCCCGGCUGAGGCUGCUGCCCAGGGCUAUCCCGCUCCACCCCCUGCCCCAGCCUGGCCCUCCCGUCCCGUUCCCCGUUCUGGGGCACACUGGAGCCACGGCCCUCCUCCACCAGGCAUGCCCCCUCCAGCCUGGCGUCAGCCGUCUCUGCUGGCUCCCCCAGGCCCCCCAAACUGGCUGGGGCCCCCCACACAGAGUGGGACACCCCGUGGCGGAGCCCUGCUGCUGCUAAGAAACAGCCCCCAGCCCCUGCGGCGGGCAGCCUCGGGAGGCAGUGGCAGUGAGAAUGUGGGCCCCCCUGCUGCCGCGGUGCCUGGGCCCCUGAGCCGCAGCACCAGUGUCGCUUCCCACAUCCUCAAUGGUUCUUCCCACUUCUAUUCCUGAAGUGCAGCGGGGAGGAGCAGAUGAGCUGGGCAGGGCAGGGGUGGGUGGAGCCUGACCCUGGAGGGCACUGAGCUGGAGGCCCCCGCAAGGGUAGGGGACAAGAUGUAGGCUCCAGCUCCCCUCAGACCUCCUCAUCUCAUGA